Molecule: long non-coding RNA, 301 nt
Organism: Bradysia coprophila
Lineage: Eukaryota; Metazoa; Arthropoda; Insecta; Diptera; Sciaridae
Source: RefSeq, a predicted model, not a curated record
ACCAAUAAAUGUUAGCAAAGAGACUACUUGUUUCGUCUCAAGCGAUCUGAGUAUAUUACUGCAACGAGACGACUCAUCCAGUCUCGCACAGUCUGGCGAAAUAAUAUUCGAAAAGAGACUACUCGUUUGGUCUACGGUAUUCUCAUUUGUUCAUCCGAAAUGAUUUUAGCAAAAACAAAAAUAUUUUGAGACCUAAUUGAGAAUUCCAGCAAUUUUGAGACUGGAAUUAGACCGUUGAGAAUACGUAUUUCAUGGUCUCGUGAGACCGACAUUUUCACUGGGGACAUAACCAGGUCCAACG